This 518-nucleotide ribosomal RNA is filed under the name uncultured bacterium. RNAcentral's name for it is "bacterial SSU rRNA". It matches the Rfam family "Bacterial small subunit ribosomal RNA", at positions 29 to 518 of the family's 1533-position model. The record is from RNAcentral.
ACGAACGCUGGCGGCGUGCCUAAUACAUGCAAGUCGAACGGCUUUUCUAUGGAAGCUUGCUUCCACUGAGAAGAUAGUGGCGAACGGGUGAGUAACACGUGGGUAACCUGCCCAUAAGAGGGGGGAUAACAUCCGGAAACGGGUGCUAAUACCGCAUAGUUUUCUUGAUCGCAUGAUUGAGAAAGGAAAGACGGCCUUUGUGCUGUCGCUUAUGGAUGGACCCGCGGCGUAUUAGUUAGUUGGUGAGGUAACGGCUCACCAAGACGAUGAUACGUAGCCGACCUGAGAGGGUGAUCGGCCACAUUGGGACUGAGACACGGCCCAAACUCCUACGGGAGGCAGCAGUAGGGAAUCUUCCGCAAUGGACGAAAGUCUGGCGGAGCAACGCCGCGUGAGUGAAGAAAAGGUUUUCGGAUCGUAAAACUCUGUUGUCAGAGAAGAACAAGUUGGAGAGUAACUGCUCCAGCCUUGACGGUAUCUGACCAGAAAGCCACGGCUAACUACGUGCCAGCAGCGGC